This 438-nucleotide ribosomal RNA is filed under the name uncultured bacterium. RNAcentral's name for it is "bacterial SSU rRNA". It matches the Rfam family "Bacterial small subunit ribosomal RNA", at positions 954 to 1392 of the family's 1533-position model. The record is from RNAcentral.
GCUAAACGCGAAGAACCUUACCUGGUCUUGACAUGUCUGGAAUCCCGAAGAGAUUUGGGAGUGCCGCAAGGAACCAGAACACAGGUGCUGCAUGGCUGUCGUCAGCUCGUGUCGUGAGAUGUUGGGUUAAGUCCCGCAACGAGCGCAACCCUUGUCCUCUGUUGCCAUCAGGUUAAGCUGGGCACUCUGAGGAGACUGCCGGUGACAAACCGGAGGAAGGUGGGAUGACGUCAAGUCAUCAUGGCCUUUAUGGCCAGGGCUACACACGUGCUACAAUGGCAGGUACAGAGGGAAGCCAACCGGCAACGGGAGCCAAUCCCAGAAAGCCUGUCUUAGUCCGGAUUGCAGUCUGCAACUCGACUGCAUGAAGUUGGAAUCGCUAGUAAUCGCAGAUCAGCAUUGCUGCGGUGAAUACGUUCCCGGGUCUUGUACACACCG